UACGUAGGGUGCAAGCGUUUAAUCGGAAUUACUGGGCGUAAAGCGUGCGCAGGCGGUUGUGCAAGACAGAUGUGAAAUCCCCGGGCUCAACCUGGGAACUGCAUCUGUGACUGCAUUGCUGGAGUGCGGCAGAGGGGGAUGGAAUUCCGCGUGUAGCAGUGAAAUGCGUAGAUAUGCGGAGGAACACCGAUGCGAAGGCAAUCCCCUGGGCCUGCACUGACGCUCAUGCACGAAAGCGUGGGGAGCAAACAGG
RNAcentral lists this ribosomal RNA (253 nucleotides) under uncultured bacterium. RNAcentral's name for it is "partial 16S ribosomal RNA". It matches the Rfam family "Bacterial small subunit ribosomal RNA", at positions 524 to 776 of the family's 1533-position model. The record is from RNAcentral.